RNAcentral lists this long non-coding RNA (897 nucleotides) under Nicotiana tabacum (common tobacco). RNAcentral describes it as "long non-coding RNA (NTAB_LNC018648)". Lineage: Eukaryota; Viridiplantae; Streptophyta; Magnoliopsida; Solanales; Solanaceae. The record is from RNAcentral.
GCCGGGACAGGGACCGCCAUACCAAUCAAGACAAGUAGUAAUCAUACUGACCAAAGAAGCAACUCCGGAGCGAAUGGAGCACACCAACACCUUCCGCUAAGCUGAUAGCCUAUUUGGAGGACUCUCGACCUGUCUAUCAGGACCUGCGGGCAUGAAACACAGCGUCCCCAGGCAAACGGGACAUCAACACAAAUAAUGUACCGAGUAUGUAAGGAAUGAAAUCAGUAACUAGUAGACAUGAGAGAAACACGGAGUAAAAGACUCAACAUGUAUAUCUGAAUAAAUCUGGGAAUCAUUUAAUAUUAUAAUGUCAUGCAUAUGUGUAUAAAUGUCAUACCAUGCAUAGGUAUAUGAAUUCAUAACAUCAUCAAGCCUCUGAGGGCAUCCCAUCAUAUCACCUCGACCACGGUGGGGAAAUCAUCAACAUAUACCAGCUGAUUAGGUGGUGGUGCGUAUAUAAUGCCAUAACCUUUUUCCAUAUCCCAUAUAAAUAUAUAUACAUAUAUACGCGUAUAUAACACCAUCUAUUCACGAGUCAAUAUACAUGAAUGCAAUGCAUGAGAAAUAUGUCAAUAAAAUUUCUUGGGGGAUGUCAUAUGACCAUUAUGCCCUCAAGUAAUAUCAUGAAGUAAAUUUUUUUUUUCAACUUAUGUAUUUUUCUGAGACCCAUAAACAGAUGAUAGAAUAAUAUGACACAUGGAAAUUCAAGAACAUAGGCACCUCUAAUACUUCUAUAAAUAGAGUCAUUUAUGGAAGUUGUGCAUUUUCUCGUUUCGUUUGUGUCAUAUAGAUCAUGCCAAAAGAAAGAAGGGAUAAUCUUAACAUACAUGAGGCAAUUCUCUUGGCAAUCCAUUUAGCACACAUCAACUACGACAACGUGUAAUAGCAAGAUCGGAG